GGGCGCUUAGCUCAGCGGGAGAGCGCUUCCCUGACACGGAAGAGGUCACAGGUUCAAUCCCUGUAGCGCCCACCA
This 75-nucleotide transfer RNA is filed under the name soil metagenome. It matches the Rfam family "tRNA". From Rfam's summary of the family: Transfer RNA (tRNA) molecules are approximately 80 nucleotides in length. The record is from RNAcentral. RNAcentral also lists the same sequence under 1 other name.